Molecule: long non-coding RNA, 410 nt
Organism: Aquila chrysaetos chrysaetos
Lineage: Eukaryota; Metazoa; Chordata; Aves; Accipitriformes; Accipitridae
Exons: 3
Source: RefSeq, a predicted model, not a curated record
UCUGAAGCAAGACCUCAAAGUGGAGUAACAGAAACAGAUAGAGGAUUUACCUCAACAGAGAAACCUGGGUAGGAGAAGAGGAAACAACCAUUUUCAUGUUACAGACAGAACAGAUAAAACUUGCCCCCCAAAAUCAAAUGUGAAUUUAAGAGGUGAUAUCUAGAAGGACAUAAUUCACCAAGGGGAAAAGAGGGAAGCUAAAAAGAGAUCCAGCAGCUAAUGACUUCUGCGAGUUGAAUGGAGACUCUUCUGAGCAGCGAGAGGGAGCCAGGAGUCAGGGCUCAGCUGGGUGCGCCCCAGGAUGCUCAAGACAGUCUGUGCGAUGAAGGGGAGAGAACGUGAUCUAUGACACCUGCUAUUCUCUGACCCUUUGAAAUAACAACGACUGUCUUCAUACAUCACUUUUCCAC